Long non-coding RNA from Gallus gallus (chicken), 1819 nucleotides. NCBI's taxonomy places the organism in Eukaryota, Metazoa, Chordata, Aves, Galliformes, Phasianidae. The record is from Ensembl.
AUAAGAAGGGGAGCUGGACUGGUUAUUUUGAACCUCAUAAAUGCUAAAUACUCCUAUGGUUUAGACAGUGACAUGCACUUGGAUACAGGUCUUGGAGUCUAGGACAGCAUGUCUGCUGAAGUCUGGAGCAAAUAUUAUUGAUAUUUUUUUUCUUUACAGGUACUAGGAAACUAAGCAAGCACCGACAGCCCGAGCCCCAGAGGCUACUGUAGAUACCAUAAUAACCCUAAAGUUAUAAGGAGAGGUAACAGCACAAAAGAAGUCAUUGGGUGCAGGACAUGAGACAAGUACAACAAGCAGGAACAGUGAAACUUAAGGCACUGUGCAGCGACUGGAAUCAAAUGUAGCAGCAGGCAAUUAUAGUCUGUUAGACUAAUGUGGCCAAGACAAGAAGGAUGUGAAGUGUGUGAUCAACACAGAGGAUCAACACAACUGAUCCUCUCAAGGGCCUUCAAUAAUAAAGGAAAACGGGGAAGCUAAAUAGUAUGGGGAGGACUUGUUUGCUUUGUCACUGCUAUCCCGAGUUGUUUUUGCUAGUGCAGUGUAGCCUGCCUGGCAUCUGUUUGCCACCUUGGUGGAGUGUCAGUCUGCCUUAGGUCCUGCGUCAUACCAGCUAUUUCCAUGCAGAUGUCUUGGAUACCUUAGGGCCUCUCAAAUGGCACUGGGUAUUGAGCGUGGGCAGAGGAAUCCUGUCCUUUGCUGUGUGGAAAAACAUUGCUCUUGGAGGGCCACAACAGUAUGGUAAUGGCUGCAGCCAAGUGUGGCAGCAGUGACCAAGCUAGAGCAAUACUGAAAUAGGUAAGUCUGUGUAACAAUUAUCUUCAGCUCUGGCUUUUUAAGGCCAGCUGUGGGCCCAGCCCUGCAGCUUCCUGCUUUGGCCAAGAAUGAAUCACUUGUGGGGAGCUGUAAUUCCCAGAGCAGAUGGGAGCUGUCAGGUUCACAGUCAGAGAUGAUGGAAAGGGAUACAACGUGUAACAGCUCCCUCUGGGCAGGAGAGAUUGGGGGGAGACAGGUGGGUCUCUCCAGCCCAGGAGAGGGUAUCACAGAUAAAAAUGCUUUAGGAAGAUGCUUUAACAGGCAAUCAGGUGUCUAUGUAAAAUACCCAGAGGAGAAAGCAAUUAAAAGAACUGUAGUUGAUUCAAAAAAAAAAAAAAAAAAAAAAUAGACUUGAAGAAGACUGAGUCUGAGAAUGAACUUAAUCACCAAGGUGCCCUUGAAGUUUAUCAGACCACCUAGAGGUGCAAUAUCCUAGGCAAGCAAGAAGUUCUGAGAAAUACCCUUCAUCUAAUCUUUUUAUUAUUAUUAUUUUUCCCUACAUUAGAAAGAUUGAAGUGUUUUGGCUUGGUUGGAAAACUGAACUAGUUUGCCAGAGGGAAAGCGGAGGAAACUAGAACAUUUUCCCAAAGAGAAGAACCUGUACAUGCUUCAUGAACCAAAGACUUCCAUUGUGCCAGGUAGCUGUGAGAGGAGUUGCUGCAUGACAGAGAAUGUGAACGAUGCUAUGAAACUGCAACAGCAGCAAUAAUACAUGAGCUGUCUUUGAGCUCAUGUAACUUCAUGGAGAGGAUUGCUCGCGCUGUAGGAGGUGAGCACCAGGCUGCCUUCUUGCCUCACCUCCGAGUGCCCCUUUCCAGUAGGCAAGCACCUGUGGAGGCCAACGCCAGCUGCAAGUGCCUGGGCAGCAAGCAGUGAGAAUCAUUAUGAAUUUGGCCAGCUCCAUCAGGAAAGGCAUCAAAUAGAUCUUGUCUGUUCCUGAUUGUGAUGAGCCUGAGGAUGAAAUAAAGCUGCACUGAAGCAUUUCAAUAUCCUAUUUCGCUAC